AGACGAACCGAGCGAACGUUGUUCGGAAUCACUGGGCUUAAAGGGCGCGUAGGCGGGCUGUCAAGUUUGGGGUGAAAUCCCGCGGCUCAACCGUGGAACUGCCUCAAAUACUGACGGUCUCGAGGGGGGUAGGGGCGAGCGGAACUGUGAGUGGAGCGGUGAAAUGCGUUGAUAUUCACAGGAACUCCGGUGGCGAAGGCGGCUCGCUGGACCUCUUCUGACGCUGAGGCGCGAAAGCCAGGGGAGCAAACGGGA
RNAcentral lists this ribosomal RNA (255 nucleotides) under uncultured prokaryote. RNAcentral describes it as "partial 16S ribosomal RNA". It matches the Rfam family "Bacterial small subunit ribosomal RNA", at positions 523 to 777 of the family's 1533-position model. The record is from RNAcentral.